Molecule: transfer RNA, 72 nt
Filed under: Camelus bactrianus (Bactrian camel)
Lineage: Eukaryota; Metazoa; Chordata; Mammalia; Artiodactyla; Camelidae
Also listed under: 2 other names
Rfam family: tRNA
About the family: Transfer RNA (tRNA) molecules are approximately 80 nucleotides in length. Their secondary structure includes four short double-helical elements and three loops (D, anti-codon, and T loops).
Source: Rfam by way of RNAcentral
GAGGGCAUAUCUCAGUGGUAGAGCAUGUGCGUAGCAUGCACAAGCUCCUGGGUUCAAUCCCUAGUACCUCCA